Peromyscus leucopus (white-footed mouse) is the source of this 4198-nucleotide long non-coding RNA. RefSeq lists it as uncharacterized. The record is from RefSeq and is a predicted model, not a curated record. Lineage: Eukaryota; Metazoa; Chordata; Mammalia; Rodentia; Cricetidae. The transcript has 5 exons.
UGAAAGCAGCUCGUGACCCCGAAACUGCAUCCCCCGGAGCCGGGGACCCAGGCGCCAGGCGGGCGGGUGAACCCGGCCAGUCCCCUCCCAAUCCCCGCAACCCCCCGCCUCCGAGUUGGGGGGGAACCCAGGCCUGGAGGGAGGUUGGGCAGGUGCCGCGGGCUGUGCCGAAAGCGCUGAAAUCGAAAACCCUCGCCACUCGGGAAGAACUGAGGCAAAAGGAUUGCAGACUCAGCUCGGGAACAGCCCUGCACUCCAGCCACUGCCUGGUCGCUCGUGGGCCCGCUGGGCUCGGCGGUUGGGUGGCGGCCGCGCCUUUCGAGCGCUAAGCCGGGAGGAGGGCGCAGGCAAGGCGCACAGUUCUGAGUGCGCCCCUACCCGGCCCGGGCCUGCUGCAGCCCCGACUGUCCGAGAGCCUCUCGGCAGAAGAGGGUUGUGCGCAGCCCUCUGAGCCCACCUCCUGGCCACACUGUCGCCAGCGCUUCUCCAGCUCAGGCCGGAAGCAAUACGCUGCUUCCAAAGCCGAUCCGGAGCUGGCCGACCCCAGACUGAUUCUCAACAGGUGGCUGGGUAGCCCCCACACUCCGUUGGUCGUGAGGGCCCAUCGCACACGGCGGCGAAGCCACCUUACCCCACACCCCACACCUCACCCCGCCGGCCCAAAAAUUGACCGCCCGCGCCCGAGUCGGGGGAGCCAGGAGGAUCCCCCAGGGUAGGGGAGCAGGGAGGAUCUUACCUGCCGUAAGGAAUACACUACCUGAAGUUAGUCGCAAGUCAGCUUCAAUCACGGAAAAACCACGUCUAGAAGAUUCCAUGAAGCCGCUUCCAAUCGCACGAGAACACGUGCGCAACACCCUUCAAGAUCUCUGGGAUCACGUCCUCAACUGGUAUUCACAGACGGUGUUUGCACUGCAAUUGUGCGAGAACACACUUAAGGAGGAUUAAAGAACCCUAGCAACAGAGCUGGAGGAAUAAAGAAGUGUCCAUAUGCAUGGGUCGAAUGCAUGGGUACACACCCAGUUGUCCAGAUGCAAACAAAGCUGCAGUGCCCACGUGAAGACAGACACACAGGCACCUAUAUACAGGAAGCCAAGGAGAGUAAGCUCAACUGGCAUGCAGUAUUUCCUGCAAGAGGUAUGUUGUCCGUGGAGGAAGAAACUUUGCUGAGUCUUCUGGAAGUAAAAGUUUCAGUUCUGAAGAAAGAGCCAAGGAAUCAUCUACCCCGAGCCUGCCUUCAGACUCUCCUACCUGCUCUGUUGGAGACACCCAGAAGAGGGCAAUACAGGAAAGAUUGCUUUUGACUCAGUUAUUUCUCUUGGUUGGUGCCUUUUUCAUCCUCUGCCUGGGAGACUGUGCUCCAGAGUAGGGCUUGAGCACACAGCACUGACAGUCUUCGCCAGGUGACAGGAGAGUCUCAAUUUCCAACGGGAACAUUCAGUUCUAAAGAAGCUUCCAGAUGUGCAAAAGCCCUGGCUGCCCCCCUUUCGGUUUUUCUUUUUUCUCUUCUGAGAUCUGAAGAGAACAGUAGCUCUCCCCAACCCCAAGGGUAUCAAAUAUCUGCAAGGAAUGUGCUAGUGCAAGCUAAAUUCUUUAUUUAACUAAUAUUCUUUUGUGGGAUAUUGAGAAGUCUUCAACCAUGGCUCGUCUAUUCCAGGCAGAGAUUGAGGUCCUGGCCUGGCUGUGAGUCUACCAACAGGGCUUCCCACAGUGGUUUGGGGGCUAGAUUGAAUAAGUGUGCAAAUUUAUUCUCACUGUCACCUCUUUUGCCUGCCCUGGACCAUACUGCCCCAGUCAGGGACUGCCCCAAGCAAUGGUGCCCUUCCCCACAUUGCCUUUUCCAACUUGCUCUCUCGAGCUCAUUUUCUGAGCCUCCCUCUUUGAAAGUAGUAGGAGUGAAGUCUUGGACCAUUUCUUUAAAAGGACGGCAAGGAAGAGGGAGGGAGGAAGGGAAGGAGGAAAGGGGGUGGGAGGAGGUGCUAGCUCCUAGGCCAACCAGCCCAGGAGCUGCUCUCCAAGGGGGAAAAGAGAGCUGCAGUUGUAAAGAGGAAAUGACCCCCAAACACUGCUGCAGGGCACACCGUCACAGAUGUAACCGUCCCCUGAAGUGACCGAGGGGUGUGACUAGGGAAGGUUUUCUGCCCUUUGGGGAGCAGUUCUUUUCACUUUUCCAAGACACUCUUAGUUCCUGGACAUUUUAGUGAAUUUGUUCUUGUUUGCGUCUUGAACAAUAAAUUGUGAAAAUCGCCCCUAGAGUCCAUGUAAUCUUAAUCUUCGUCAGCAGGGCAGUUGCUGCCAAAGCUUUGUUAGUCCAGUCGGGGUUUUUUUUUUUUUUUUUUUUUUUGUUUUUGUUUUGUUUUGUUUUUGUUUUUGUUUUUGUUUUUCUCUCACGCCCAAAUUUGAAUCACCUGCUGAUGCACCUCAGAAGGAGGCUGUGGUCAAAAGAGUGAACUGAAUAAGGAGGCAUCCCCCUCCGAUCCAAAGUGUAACUCUCCUUCCUUCUUCUAGCUGAGAUUCGGAACACAAAGAAACGAACUGGUUGCCUUUGAACAUUCUCUACCUCUUGGGGUAGUUUAGAGCCUUUCUCACGACGCAUCCCAGCGCUUGAGAACUGGAAGGGUUUGCUCUGACUCUCCAGUCUCACAAUAAUUUCCACACUCUAACUGGAAAAUGUGUUUAUGUGGGUUUAGGUGGAAGACUGUACCAGUCACCUCUCAAGCAAAGAUCUUCUGUUUUCUCAUAACCCCGAAGGCUCCACAUACUUCACUGGACAUUUUAAUUUAUUUUUCUUUCUUACCCUUGUUCCUUCUGCCCAGGACACAGAACUAGGGGCAAAACUUGGGAGAUCUGUGACCUUCUUGAUAGCACCCCACAACUCUUAGGUUUGUGUUGAGCAGUGAUAACCUGUCUCACAUAGGUCAAUGCAUAUAUGUGUAUGCAUGCAUGCGUUCCUAUUGGGUUGCCCACACUUUCCCAACACACUCGGGCUGCCUAGAUGAAGCAAGCUAUUUCCGCUGCCCAGGGCAAAGGGCUAACCGCCCUUGUGGGUCUAGUGUUGGCAUAGGAUAUUACCGGUGUGUGUGUGUGUGUGUGUGUGUGUGUGUGUGUGUGUGUGUGUGUGUGAUAGGGCAGUCAUUACCUUCAACAAUAAAUUAAAAUAACCAGAUACCCCUUUAAUCCUUUCCACAACAGUGUCAACGCUCUGGAGACGGCGUCUCACCUCCCAAGGUGUCUUCACUCCCAGAGGGGCCGGGGCUCUGCCGCAGCCCAACACUGGGCUGGCGCUUAGAGAGGAGGUACUCCGACGGAAAAAAUCCCAUACAUUUUUAACUACAGUGAUUACUAAAUUAAUAGCAGGCACCAAGACAGAUGUCAAAACGUCUUGAAAAUGUUUAUCUGUGAAUAAUUGAGAAGGUAGUGGGACGCAUUAUCUGAUUGUGUAAUGAAAUAUGUAUGAGGAACAGCUGUUUGCAGCAGCCCCUUCCCACCGCCGCCUUAGCCAGGGCCCGUCUCUGGCAGGCAGGAGUCUUCGGUGAACUUGCUCGCCCACUUUCUUCCACCUGGGAGUUCCUCGCCUCUUCCCUGGCUGCUCUGCACCGCUGUGGCUAUUAGUGAAGCCCAGAGUCGCCUGGUUCUCUGAUGGAGGGUAUCCACACCGUUUCCCCUCAGCCUUGGUCGGUUAGUGUUCGCGGAGGGGUGCGGCGGCUUCUCUGCCGGCUGCUCUGGCCAUCGCGCCUUCCGGCCCGGCUGCCCGCUGGGUCUCCAUGGAUGCAGGAGUGCAGACGAUGGAACGGGCGGCGGCCGCGGCCGCGGUGGCCCGGAGUCCCCGGAGCACCUGGCGUGGGCUGGUCGAGCUGCGCGACCCGGUCAGAGUAAAGGCCCGGGAGCCCCGCGACUCAGCGGGGCGGGUCUGGGGUCACUGCGGGGUGACGGGGCUGGGGAUCUGGCUUUGUUUCCCUCUCUAGCCACCCUGCACACUUCCUUCCAGCCCCCAGCCAGCCUCCAAGACGCUGAGCCCUGGUCCUGUUUGUUUUUCCAGCCCCGAGCCCUCCACCCAGACGCACAAAUAGCCCUCGAGGCUGCCCCAGGCCGUGGCCCAGCUCAGGCCGCAGUCUAGCCUCCGCCUCGCCACGAGUUCUGGCCCCGCAGGAAGCAGAGGGGACGGGAGGGCUUCAGGGUCUUCCUGGAGCCAGAGGGCACA